This is a long non-coding RNA of Hirundo rustica (Barn swallow), 515 nucleotides long. RefSeq lists it as uncharacterized. The transcript has 5 exons. The record is from RefSeq and is a predicted model, not a curated record. NCBI's taxonomy places the organism in Eukaryota, Metazoa, Chordata, Aves, Passeriformes, Hirundinidae.
ACCCGCCCCUGCACUCCAUAACGGGACUUUUCCGGCCACUCUUGUCUCCUCCGAACACAACAAACACACAAGAGGUUGGUGGAGCGGGGAGCUGCGGUCCCGCGGACCCGGCUUCGAGAAGAUUCCCAGCUCUCGCUCCCUCUCCUGCCGACCAUGGUUGUGAUCGCCAUUGCAAUCGCAGCCGCCUUUGGAUUUACAGUACUCGUCGCUGGAUUUACAAUUGUCGCCGUGGUAAACGGUAUGGGGAUGAGCAUGAGUGCAAGGGGGUCUCGCAGUGGAUCUUUUGACUUCUUUUUUGACGUUGGGGGAAACCAAAGCCAUCCUGGCAAGAAAGCUGAUUAACUGUACCAGUGAAGAGAAACAGAUUUGCUUCCUUCUAAGCAACCGUCUUCAUGUCUUCACACUGCAGAAACUGGAAAGUCUCUGCUGACCCCCAGCUGCCCCUCAAGCAGAUUGGGAUUGCCUUGAGCUAUAAAUGUUUUAAAGUUUAAUAAAAAUGCAUUGCUGGUGUGGAA